This 450-nucleotide ribosomal RNA is filed under the name uncultured bacterium. RNAcentral describes it as "partial 16S ribosomal RNA". It matches the Rfam family "Bacterial small subunit ribosomal RNA", at positions 354 to 796 of the family's 1533-position model. The record is from RNAcentral.
GUGGGGAAUAUUGGACAAUGGGCGAAAGCCUGAUCCAGCCAUGCCGCGUGUGUGAAGAAGGUCUUCGGAUUGUAAAGCACUUUAAGUUGGGAGGAAGGGCAGUAAGUUAAUACCUUGCUGUUUUGACGUUACCGACAGAAUAAGCACCGGCUAACUUCGUGCCAGCAGCCGCGGUAAUACGAAGGGUGCAAGCGUUAAUCGGCAUUACUGGGCGUAAAGCGCGCGUAGGUGGUUUUGUAAGUUGGAGGUUAAAUCCCCGGGCUCAACCUGGGAACUGCCUCCAAAACUGCAUGACUAGAGUACGGUAGAGGGUAGUGGAAUUUCCUGUGUAGCGGUGAAAUGCGUAGAUAUAGGAAGGAACACCAGUGGCGAAGGCGACUACCUGGACUGAUACUGACACUGAGGUGCGAAAGCGUGGGGAGCAAACAGGAUUAGAUACCCUUGUAGUCC